CUCAGUAACGGCGAGUGAAGCGGCAAGAGCUCAAAUUUGAAAUCUGGCCCCUCCGGGGUCCGAGUUGUAAUUUGCAGAGGAUGCUUCGGGUGCGGCCCCCGUCUAAGUGCCCUGGAACGGGCCGUCAUAGAGGGUGAGAAUCCCGUCUGGGACGGGGUGUCCGUGCCCGUGUGAAGCUCCUUCGACGAGUCGAGUUGUUUGGGAAUGCAGCUCUAAAUGGGUGGUAAAUUUCAUCUAAAGCUAAAUACUGGCCGGAGACCGAUAGCGCACAAGUAGAGUGAUCGAAAGAUGAAAAGCACUUUGAAAAGAGAGUUAAACAGCACGUGAAAUUGUUGAAAGGGAAGCGCUUGCGACCAGACUCGCCCGCGGGGUUCAGCCGGCCUUCGGGCCGGUGUACUUCCCCGCGGGCGGGCCAGCGUCGGUUUGGGCGGCCGGUCAAAGGCCUUCGGAAUGUGUCGCCCCCCGGGGCGUCUUAUAGCCGGAGGUGCAAUGCGGCCAGCCCGGACCGAGGAACGCGCUUCGGCUCGGACGCUGGCAUAAUGGUCGUAA
This 549-nucleotide ribosomal RNA is filed under the name Phialomyces humicoloides. Its description in RNAcentral is "LSU rRNA". It matches the Rfam family "Eukaryotic large subunit ribosomal RNA", at positions 79 to 643 of the family's 3401-position model. Lineage: Eukaryota; Fungi; Ascomycota; Eurotiomycetes; Eurotiales; Aspergillaceae. The record is from RNAcentral.